ACAUCCAGAGAAUUUAGCAGAGAUGCUUUAGUGCCUUCGGGAACUCUGAGACAGGUGCUGCAUGGCUGUCGUCAGCUCGUGUUGUGAAAUGUUGGGUUAAGUCCCGNAACGAGCGCAACCCUUAUCCUUUGUUGCCAGCACGUAAUGGUGGGAACUCAAAGGAGACUGCCGGUGAUAAACCGGAGGAAGGUGGGGAUGACGUCAAGUCAUCAUGGCCCUUACGAGUAGGGCUACACACGUGCUACAAUGGCGCAUACAAAGAGAAGCGACCUCGCGAGAGCAAGCGGACCUCAUAAAGUGCGUCGUAGUCCGGAUUGGAGUCUGCAACUCGACUCCAUGAAGUCGGAAUCGCUAGUAAUCGUAAAUCAGAAUGUUACGGUGAAUACGUUCCCGGGCCUUGUACACACCGCCCGUCACACCAUGGGAAUGGGUUGCAAAAGAAGUAGAUAGCUUAACCUUCGGGAGGGCGUUUACCACUUUGUGAUUCAUGACUGGGGUGAAGUCGUAACAAGGUAAGCGUAGUGCU
Molecule: ribosomal RNA, 526 nt
Filed under: uncultured bacterium
Lineage: Bacteria
Description: bacterial SSU rRNA
Rfam family: Bacterial small subunit ribosomal RNA
Source: RNAcentral